GGUCCACGGAAUAGUACCGUGGACCGUGAGAAAUAUGUGGAAAAUGCCCACGCAGUCCACAGGCCCACCCGUGGACCGCCCAAUCCACGGUGGACCGGGGUGUAGGGCCCAGGCGCCCUGCUUGGGCCUAGGCCGGCCCGUGCCCGCACGCAGGCCCACGCACCGGUUGAGCCGCGCGCCCGACUGGGCCAUGCGCUUGGGUCGCGCAUCCUGCAUAUUGGCCCCGCCUGGGCUGCGCGCCGCCGCCGGCCCACCGCCGGCCGCCGACGGUCC
This 273-nucleotide long non-coding RNA is filed under the name Elaeis guineensis (African oil palm). Its description in RNAcentral is "long non-coding RNA (EGUI_LNC009568)". The record is from RNAcentral. Lineage: Eukaryota; Viridiplantae; Streptophyta; Magnoliopsida; Arecales; Arecaceae.